ACAACCCACCGUCGCCUACACCAUGGAAAAGACCUUGAUAUCGCUGGCUGCUCUGCUAUUGAAUUCAGCCUGAUUGGGCCACAAAAGCAUUUGGAGCCAUACUUAGGUGAAACUGUGGUCAUCCCUCCACUGUCGGAGAGGCAGUCGUUGCUGCGUUGACCUCGACCCCACAGCGUGACCCCCGUCGGAGGGCUCAGACCGCAGGGGAUGUGAUGGCCGUUCAUAUGCUGGAGCUCUGCUUCUCCACCCAGAAAACUUCACCUCCUCCUCUCUGAACGGAUCCCCACUGGUCCAGCUCCUCUGCGGGUAAACAUCUGGGCUGGCAAAGGAGCAACUCAG
Xiphias gladius (swordfish) is the source of this 339-nucleotide long non-coding RNA. RefSeq lists it as uncharacterized. The transcript is spliced from 3 exons. NCBI's taxonomy places the organism in Eukaryota, Metazoa, Chordata, Actinopteri, Istiophoriformes, Xiphiidae. The record is from RefSeq and is a predicted model, not a curated record.